This 253-nucleotide ribosomal RNA is filed under the name uncultured bacterium. RNAcentral's name for it is "partial 16S ribosomal RNA". It matches the Rfam family "Bacterial small subunit ribosomal RNA", at positions 524 to 776 of the family's 1533-position model. The record is from RNAcentral.
UACGUAGGUGGCAAGCGUUAUUCGGAAUUAUUGGGCGUAAAGCGCGCGCAGGUGGUUUCUUAAGUCUGAUGUGAAAGCCCACGGCUCAACCGUGGAGGGUCAUUGGAAACUGGGAGACUUGAGUGCAGAAGAGGAAAGUGGAAUUCCAUGUGUAGCGGUGAAAUGCGUAGAGAUAUGGAGGAACACCAGUGGCGAAGGCGACUUUCUGGUCUGUAACUGACACUGAGGCGCGAAAGCGUGGGGAGCAAACAGG